AAACCAGCACCUCAAGUGGUCAGGAUGAUUAUUGGGCCUAAAGCAUCCGUAGCCGGCUUUGUAAGUUUUCGGUUAAAUCCAUACGCUCAACGUAUGGGCUGCCGGGAAUACUGCAAAACUAGGGAGUUGGAGAGGUAGACGGUACUCGGGAGGAAGGGGUAAAAUCCUUUGAUCUCUCGAUGACCACCUGUGGCGAAGGCGGUCUACCAGAACACGUCCGACGGUGAGGGAUGAAAGCUGGGGGAGCAAACCGGAUUAGAUACCCGGGUAGUCC
Molecule: ribosomal RNA, 274 nt
Filed under: uncultured bacterium
Lineage: Bacteria
Description: partial 16S ribosomal RNA
Rfam family: Archaeal small subunit ribosomal RNA
Source: RNAcentral